CAGCAGCCGCCGCGGUAAUACGAAGGGGGCUAGCGUUGUUCGGAAUUACUGGGCGUAAAGCGCACGUAGGCGGAUAUUUAAGUCAGGGGUGAAAUCCCGCAGCUCAACUGCGGAACUGCCUUUGAUACUGGGUAUCUUGAGUAUGGAAGAGGUGAGUGGAAUUCCGAGUGUAGAGGUGAAAUUCGUAGAUAUUCGGAGGAACACCAGUGGCGAAGGCGGCUCACUGGUCCAUUACUGACGCUGAGGUGCGAAAGCGUGGGGAGCAAACAGGAUUAGAUACCCCCGUAGUCCCUGUCUCUUAUAC
RNAcentral lists this ribosomal RNA (304 nucleotides) under uncultured bacterium. RNAcentral's name for it is "partial 16S ribosomal RNA". It matches the Rfam family "Bacterial small subunit ribosomal RNA", at positions 506 to 807 of the family's 1533-position model. The record is from RNAcentral.